CAUAGCGACUAUCGUGGCAUAUCAAUAAGCGGAGGAAAAGAAACUAACAAGGAUUCCCCUAGUAACGGCGAGUGAAGCGGGAAGAGCUCAAAUUUGAAAUCUUAAAGGUUUUCCCUUGACGAAUUGUAGUUUAAAGAAGUGUUUUCUGUUGAAGUUUUGGUAAAAGUUCUUUGGAAUAGGACAUCAUAGAGGGUGAGAAUCCCGUAUUUGACCAUUAUUUUCCAGCUGUGUGAUACACUUUCAAAGAGUCGGAUUGUUUGGGAAUGCAGUCCAAAGAUGGGUGGUAAAUUUCAUCUAAAGCUAAAUAUUGGCGAGAGACCGAUAGCGAACAAGUACCGUGAGGGAAAGAUGAAAAGAACUUUGAAAAGAGAGUUAAACAGUACGUGAAAUUGUCAAAAGGGAAGCGUUUGACACCAGUGUUGUUUAGUUGAAAAUCAAUUCAAUAGUUUUUGAUUCUAAGUAGUAUUGACUUCAUCAGCUUGCUGCUUUCUUUCAGGAAUUAUUGUAUGCACUUUUCAGUUAACAAGUCAACAUCAAUUUCUUUUGUUGUAAAAGGGUAUGAGGAAGGUGGCUUGCGCUUCGGCUCAAGUGUUUAUAGCCUUUUAUCUCUGCAAUCGGAGAGAUUGAGGUCUGCAGCGUAGAUCCUUCGGGGUUAGAUACAUUGGUGCUAAGCUAUAGCCUUGUAUAGACAACUUGUUGACUAUGCUCAGUCAUGUAGCUUACUCGCUGAUGCUAUUUUACCUACGCUUAGGAUGUUGACGCGCGUGUGUGCGUG
This 775-nucleotide ribosomal RNA is filed under the name uncultured Neocallimastigales. Its description in RNAcentral is "partial large subunit ribosomal RNA". It matches the Rfam family "Eukaryotic large subunit ribosomal RNA", at positions 22 to 639 of the family's 3401-position model. The record is from RNAcentral. Lineage: Eukaryota; Fungi; Neocallimastigomycota; Neocallimastigomycetes; Neocallimastigales.